This 459-nucleotide ribosomal RNA is filed under the name uncultured bacterium. Its description in RNAcentral is "partial 16S ribosomal RNA". It matches the Rfam family "Bacterial small subunit ribosomal RNA", at positions 338 to 795 of the family's 1533-position model. The record is from RNAcentral.
CCUACGGGAGGCAGCAGUGAGGAAUAUUGGUCAAUGGGCGGAAGCCUGAACCAGCCAAGUAGCGUGCAGGAUGACGGCCCUACGGGUUGUAAACUGCUUUUAUACGGGAAUAACGCGCCUUACGUGUAGGGCUUUGCAUGUACCGUAUGAAUAAGGACCGGCUAAUUCCGUGCCAGCCGCCGCGGUAAUACGGAAGGUCCGGUCGUUAUCCGGAUUUAUUGGGUUGAAAGGGUGCGUAGGGGGGAUGCCAAGUCAGCGGUAAAAAUGCGGUGCUAAACGGCGACGAGCCGUUGACACUGGCGUUCUUGAGUGGGCGAGAGGUAUGCGGAAUGCGUGGUGUAGCGGUGAAAUGCAUAGAUAUCACGCAGAACUCCGAUUGCGAAGGCAGCAUACCGGCGCCCUACUGACGCUGAGGCACGAAAGCGUGGGUAUCGAACAGGAUUAGAUACCCGGGUAGUC